This 445-nucleotide ribosomal RNA is filed under the name uncultured bacterium. RNAcentral describes it as "partial 16S ribosomal RNA". It matches the Rfam family "Bacterial small subunit ribosomal RNA", at positions 354 to 796 of the family's 1533-position model. The record is from RNAcentral.
GUGAGGAAUAUUGGUCAAUGGGCGAGAGCCUGAACCAGCCAAGUCGCGUGAAGGAUGAAGGUUUUAUGAAUUGUAAACUUCUUUUGCAGGGGAAUAAAGUACGGUACGUGUACCGUUUUGUAUGUACUCUGCGAAUAAGGAUCGGCUAACUCCGUGCCAGCAGCCGCGGUAAUACGGAGGAUCCAAGCGUUAUCCGGAUUUAUUGGGUUUAAAGGGUGCGCAGGCGGGUUGAUAAGUCAGCGGUGAAAGUUUGCAGCUUAACUGUAAAAUUGCCGUUGAAACUGUCGAUCUUGAGUGCAAAUGAGGUAAGCGGAAUGUGUUGUGUAGCGGUGAAAUGCUUAGAUAUAACACAGAACACCGACGGCGAAGGCAGGUUACCAACCCAUUACUGACGCUGAGGCACGAAAGCGUGGGGAUCAAACAGGAUUAGAUACCCUAGUAGUCC